This 543-nucleotide ribosomal RNA is filed under the name Tolypocladium sp. RNAcentral describes it as "SSU rRNA". It matches the Rfam family "Eukaryotic small subunit ribosomal RNA", at positions 56 to 576 of the family's 1831-position model. Lineage: Eukaryota; Fungi; Ascomycota; Sordariomycetes; Hypocreales; Ophiocordycipitaceae. The record is from RNAcentral.
UGUCUAGUAUAGCAUUAUACAGCGAAACUGCGAAUGGCUCAUUAUAUAAGUUAUCGUUUAUUUGAUAGUACCUUACUACUUGGAUAACCGUGGUAAUUCUAGAGCUAAUACAUGCUAAAAAUCCCGACUUCGGAAGGGAUGUAUUUAUUAGAUUAAAAACCAAUGCCCUCUGGGCUCUCUGGUGAUUCAUGAUAACUUCUCGAAUCGCAUGGCCUUGCGCCGGCGAUGGUUCAUUCAAAUUUCUUCCCUAUCAACUUUCGAUGUUUGGGUAGUGGCCAAACAUGGUUGCAACGGGUAACGGAGGGUUAGGGCUCGACCCCGGAGAAGGAGCCUGAGAAACGGCUACUACAUCCAAGGAAGGCAGCAGGCGCGCAAAUUACCCAAUCCCGACACGGGGAGGUAGUGACAAUAAAUACUGAUACAGGGCUCUUUUGGGUCUUGUAAUUGGAAUGAGUACAAUUUAAAUCCCUUAACGAGGAACAAUUGGAGGGCAAGUCUGUCACACAGCAGCCCGACUUGCCUUCAUUUGUUCUCGUAGAAGGG